CCUACGGGAGGCAGCAGUGGGGAAUAUUGGACAAUGGGCAAAAGCCUGAUCCAGCCAUGCCGCGUGUGUGAAGAAGGCCUUCGGGUUGUAAAGCACUUUCAGUGGGGAAGAAAGCCUUGGGGCUAAUACCCUCGAGGAAGGACAUCACCCACAGAAGAAGCACCGGCUAACUCCGUGCCAGCAGCCGCGGUAAUACGGAGGGUGCGAGCGUUAAUCGGAAUUACUGGGCGUAAAGCGCGCGUAGGCGGUCUGAUAAGCCGGUUGUGAAAGCCCCGGGCUCAACCUGGGAACGGCAUCCGGAACUGUCAGGCUAGAGUGCAGGAGAGGAAGGUAGAAUUCCCGGUGUAGCGGUGAAAUGCGUAGAGAUCGGGAGGAAUACCAGUGGCGAAGGCGGCCUUCUGGACUGACACUGACGCUGAGGUGCGAAAGCGUGGGUAGCAAACAGGAUUAGAUACCCCUGUAGUC
Molecule: ribosomal RNA, 465 nt
Filed under: Vreelandella stevensii
Lineage: Bacteria; Pseudomonadati; Pseudomonadota; Gammaproteobacteria; Oceanospirillales; Halomonadaceae
Description: partial 16S ribosomal RNA
Rfam family: Bacterial small subunit ribosomal RNA
Source: RNAcentral